AUGAAUGGUGGAGAAAGCAGAGCCAUGGAUGGCGUUCAUGGAGUAGCCACAUGGCUCGAAAUCAAAGUCGCAGAUCUCCAUCUCUGGGAUUAUGUCAGAGAUGCCAGAGAGCUUGGUCAUCUCCUUGGCGCAAGAUGUGUGGCCAUCAGCAGAGGUCUUGAAGAAGACAGAAGCUUUCUUCUUGUCCAGACCAGUCAUGAUCACCAAUGA
This 210-nucleotide ribosomal RNA is filed under the name Triticum aestivum (bread wheat). RNAcentral describes it as "partial small subunit ribosomal RNA". Lineage: Eukaryota; Viridiplantae; Streptophyta; Magnoliopsida; Poales; Poaceae. The record is from RNAcentral.